CAGCGCGCGACUGGUUGUGCGCGUCCAAGCAGUUAGGCGCCUCAAGUAGGCAAAUCCGCUUGAGUAGGCUGAGCUGUGAUGGCGAGGGAAAUAUAGUACCGAAGUGCCUGAUUCCACACUGCCAAGAAAAGCCUCUAGCGAGGUGAGAGGUGCCCGUACCGCAAACCGACACAGGUAGGCGAGGAGAGAAUCCUAAGGUGCGCGGGAGAACUCUCGUUAAGGAACUCGGCAAAAUGACCCCGUAACUUCGGGAGAAGGGGUGCUCCCUCGGGUGAAUAGCCCAGGGGAGCCGCAGUGAAAAGGCCCAAGCGACUGUUUAUCAAAACACAGGUCUCUGCGAAGCCGCAAGGCGAAGUAUAGGGGCUGACACCUGCCCGGUGCUGGAAGGUUAAGGGGAGCGCUUAGCGCAAGCGAAGGUGCGAACCGAAGCCCCAGUAAACGGCGGCCGUAACUAUAACGGUCCUAAGGUAGCGAAAUUCCUUGUCGGGUAAGUUCCGACCCGCACGAAAGGUGUAACGACUUGGGCACUGUCUCAACGAGAGACCCGGUGAAAUCAUAGUACCUGUGAAGAUGCAGGUUACCCGCGACAGGACGGAAAGACCCCGUGGAGCUUUACUGCAGCCUGAUAUUGAAUGUUGGUGCGACAUGUACAGCAUAGGUGGGAGACUGAGAAGCCUGGACGCCAGUCUAGGUGGAGUCGCCGUUGGGAUACCACCCUUGUCGUACUGAGAUUCUAACCCGCACCCCUGAUCGGGGUGGGAGACAGUGUCAGGUGGGCAGUUUGACUGGGGCGGUCGCCUCCCAAAGCGUAACGGAGGCGCCCAAAGGUUCCCUCAGAAUGGUUGGAAAUCAUUCGUAGAGUGUAAAGGCAGAAGGGAGCUUGACUGCGAGACCUACAAGUCGAGCAGGGACGAAGUCGGGCUUAGUGAUCCGGUGGUUCCGAAUGGAAGGGCCAUCGCUCAACGGAUAAAAGCUACCCCGGGGAUAACAGGCUUAUCUCCCCCAAGAGUCCACAUCGACGGGGAGGUUUGGCACCUCGAUGUCGGCUCAUCGCAUCCUGGGGCUGUAGUCGGUCCCAAGGGUUGGGCUGUUCGCCCAUUAAAGCGGUACGCGAGCUGGGUUCAGAACGUCGUGAGACAGUUCGGUCCCUAUCCGUCGCGGGCGUAGGAAAUUUGAGAGGAGCUGUCCUUAGUACGAGAGGACCGGGAUGGACGCACCGCUGGUGUACCAGUUGUUCCGCCAGGAGCACAGCUGGGUAGCUAUGUGCGGAAGGGAUAAGCGCUGAAAGCAUCUAAGCGUGAAGCCCCCCUCAAGAUGAGAUUUCCCAUCGUGUCAAGCGAGUAAGAUCCCUUGAAGAUGACAAGGUAGAUAGGUCCGAGGUGGAAGCGUGGCGACACGUGCAGCUGACGGAUACUAAUCGAUCGAGGACUUAACUAAG
RNAcentral lists this ribosomal RNA (1438 nucleotides) under Anoxybacillus flavithermus. RNAcentral describes it as "bacterial LSU rRNA". It matches the Rfam family "Bacterial large subunit ribosomal RNA", at positions 1488 to 2925 of the family's 2925-position model. The record is from RNAcentral. Lineage: Bacteria; Bacillati; Bacillota; Bacilli; Caryophanales; Anoxybacillaceae.